Molecule: ribosomal RNA, 292 nt
Filed under: uncultured Acidobacteriota bacterium
Lineage: Bacteria; Pseudomonadati; Acidobacteriota
Description: uncultured Acidobacteria bacterium partial 16S ribosomal RNA
Source: RNAcentral
GGACUACUGGGGUAUCUAAUCCUGUUUGCUCCCCUAGCUUUCGUCCCUCAGCGUCAGUUGCGAUCCAGCGAGCCGCUUUCGCCUCGGAUGUUCCUGCGGAUAUCUACGCAUUUCACCGCUACACCCGCAAUUCCACUCGCCUCUCUCGCACUCUAGCACAGCAGUUUCGGGAGCAGCCUCUGAGUUAAGCCCAGAGAUUUCACUUCCGACUUGCCACACCGCCUACGGACCCUUUACGCCCAGUAAUUCCGAGCAACGCUGGCCCCCUACGUUUUACCGCGGCUGCUGGCAC